GUCGAAUUUGAGGACGGGGCUGUGCGCCUCCGUGUCCCCCCCCGAGGACGCCGUCUCCAGGUGGCCGCUGCAGAUGAGGUUGAGCUGCGACAUGGACGUGGCCUGGUCCCGCUUCGAGGGGUCCAACGUCCCCGACAGCGGCAGUUUGCGGUGCUGCUGGCGCGGCUUCAGGCAGCGGCGUCUGCAGUAGUAGAUGAGGAGGCAGAGCAGUGUGAGCACGAGCAGAGCCAGCGCG
RNAcentral lists this long non-coding RNA (235 nucleotides) under Gallus gallus (chicken). Lineage: Eukaryota; Metazoa; Chordata; Aves; Galliformes; Phasianidae. The record is from RNAcentral.